This 253-nucleotide ribosomal RNA is filed under the name uncultured bacterium. RNAcentral describes it as "partial 16S ribosomal RNA". It matches the Rfam family "Bacterial small subunit ribosomal RNA", at positions 524 to 776 of the family's 1533-position model. The record is from RNAcentral.
UACGGGGGGGGCAAGCGUUGUUCGGAAUUACUGGGCGUAAAGGGCUCGUAGGCGGCCAACUAAGUCAGACGUGAAAUCCCUCGGCUUAACCGGGGAACUGCGUCUGAUACUGGAUGGCUUGAGGUUGGGAGAGGGAUGCGGAAUUCCUGGUGUAGCGGUGGAAUGCGCAGAUAUCAGGAGGAACACCGAUGGCGAAGGCAGAUCUCUGGGCCGUAACUGACGCUGAGGAGCGAAAGCGUGGGGAGCGAACAGG